Molecule: ribosomal RNA, 726 nt
Filed under: Salmonella enterica subsp. enterica serovar Newport
Lineage: Bacteria; Pseudomonadati; Pseudomonadota; Gammaproteobacteria; Enterobacterales; Enterobacteriaceae
Also listed under: 1 other name
Description: partial 23S ribosomal RNA
Rfam family: Bacterial large subunit ribosomal RNA
Source: RNAcentral
GUGGACGCCAGUCUGCAUGGAGCCGACCUUGAAAUACCACCCUUUAAUGUUUGAUGUUCUAACGUGGACCCGUAAUCCGGGUUGCGGACAGUGUCUGGUGGGUAGUUUGACUGGGGCGGUCUCCUCCUAAAGAGUAACGGAGGAGCACGAAGGUUGGCUAAUCCUGGUCGGACAUCAGGAGGUUAGUGCAAUGGCAUAAGCCAGCUUGACUGCGAGCGUGACGGCGCGAGCAGGUGCGAAAGCAGGUCAUAGUGAUCCGGUGGUUCUGAAUGGAAGGGCCAUCGCUCAACGGAUAAAAGGUACUCCGGGGAUAACAGGCUGAUACCGCCCAAGAGUUCAUAUCGACGGCGGUGUUUGGCACCUCGAUGUCGGCUCAUCACAUCCUGGGGCUGAAGUAGGUCCCAAGGGUAUGGCUGUUCGCCAUUUAAAGUGGUACGCGAGCUGGGUUUAGAACGUCGUGAGACAGUUCGGUCCCUAUCUGCCGUGGGCGCUGGAGAACUGAGGGGGGCUGCUCCUAGUACGAGAGGACCGGAGUGGACGCAUCACUGGUGUUCGGGUUGUCAUGCCAAUGGCACUGCCCGGUAGCUAAAUGCGGAAGAGAUAAGUGCUGAAAGCAUCUAAGCACGAAACUUGCCCCGAGAUGAGUUCUCCCUGAGACUUAGAGUCUCCUGAAGGAACGUUGAAGACGACGACGUUGAUAGGCCGGGUGUGUAAGCGCAGCGAUGC